This 111-nucleotide ribosomal RNA is filed under the name Erinaceus europaeus (western European hedgehog). Lineage: Eukaryota; Metazoa; Chordata; Mammalia; Eulipotyphla; Erinaceidae. The record is from RNAcentral.
GUCUGUGUCCAUAACACCCUGAACACACCUGAUCUCAUCUGAUUUCAAAAGCUAAGCACGGUCGGGCCUGGUUAGUACUUGGAUGGAAGAAUACUUCGGUUUUUUUAAACA